UGAAAACCUAGAUUUUCCAUGAGAUGAUCUGGAGCACCUAGAUCCUGACACAGUUGUGUCCUAGCUCGCAUCUGUUGGGCUCCGUGACCUAACCUGAUGGGACGGCUUAUGGCAGGAGGAAUUUUUAAAUAGCCAGUAGGCAACAGGAUCUUCUGUGCUUCUUUUGUAGUUCCCUACUGUCAGGGUGGUAAGGCACUGGCACAGGUUGCCCAGGGAAGCUGUGGAUGCCCCAUCUCUGGAGGUGUUCAAGGCCAGGCUGGAUGGGGCUUUGGGCAACCUGGUCUGGUGGGAGGUGUCCCUGCCCAUGGCAGGGGGUUGGAACUGGAUGGUCUUUAAGGUCCCUUCCAACCCAAACCAUUCUGUGAUAAAGCACAGGCACAUAGAAAAGGUAUCCAGGUGUGCCAAUUAUAUCAGGAUUUAAGAGGCAAAAGCUGCAAGCUAGAUUGCUGCAAGAAGGUAGAAAGGAAAGCUGAACCAGGGAGCAUCCAUCUCCGAGCAGACAGCAGAAAUAAGUGCUGCCCGCAUGAGGUGCCAGAACUGGCACUCCCUCUGAGCCUGCAUGACAUGGGUAAAAUCCUUCUGUGCUGCCUGAGAGAAGGAAGAACAACUGGAAAGGAAACAAAACCAGGAGCACCAGCCAUUCCCAGCUCAGAGCAGACACUCCUGCUUCAUGGUCUGUCUUCCUGUCCGGAGGAUUAUGUGCUGCAAAAGUUUGCUUUCCUGACACUCGCUGCUGCCGUGGCCAGAGCUCUGCAGGAAAACCUUGCUUGCCCUCCUGCUGCAAAACCGAAGAAGCAGCUCUCCUGCCUGGUGUGUGGGUCUUUUCAAAAGCUACCCAGGUUUGGAAAACAAGCCCGUCACCCUGGUUUCUGUCUACAACAAAAAUCACAAGAAGCCAGCAAAUAA
This 906-nucleotide long non-coding RNA is filed under the name Anser brachyrhynchus (Pink-footed goose). RNAcentral describes it as "lncRNA (ENSABRG00000015561.1)". The record is from RNAcentral. Lineage: Eukaryota; Metazoa; Chordata; Aves; Anseriformes; Anatidae.